RNAcentral lists this ribosomal RNA (1494 nucleotides) under Escherichia coli M919. RNAcentral's name for it is "bacterial LSU rRNA". It matches the Rfam family "Bacterial large subunit ribosomal RNA", at positions 1451 to 2925 of the family's 2925-position model. The record is from RNAcentral. Lineage: Bacteria; Pseudomonadati; Pseudomonadota; Gammaproteobacteria; Enterobacterales; Enterobacteriaceae.
UUACUGCGAAGGGGGGACGGAGAAGGCUAUGUUGGCCGGGCGACGGUUGUCCCGGUUUAAGCGUGUAGGCUGGUUUUCCAGGCAAAUCCGGAAAACCAAGGCUGAGGCGUGAUGACGAGGCACUACGGUGCUGAAGCAACAAAUGCCCUGCUUCCAGGAAAAGCCUCUAAGCAUCAGGUAACAUCAAAUCGUACCCCAAACCGACACAGGUGGUCAGGUAGAGAAUACCAAGGCGCUUGAGAGAACUCGGGUGAAGGAACUAGGCAAAAUGGUGCCGUAACUUCGGGAGAAGGCACGCUGAUAUGUAGGUGAGGUCCCUCGCGGAUGGAGCUGAAAUCAGUCGAAGAUACCAGCUGGCUGCAACUGUUUAUUAAAAACACAGCACUGUGCAAACACGAAAGUGGACGUAUACGGUGUGACGCCUGCCCGGUGCCGGAAGGUUAAUUGAUGGGGUUAGCGCAAGCGAAGCUCUUGAUCGAAGCCCCGGUAAACGGCGGCCGUAACUAUAACGGUCCUAAGGUAGCGAAAUUCCUUGUCGGGUAAGUUCCGACCUGCACGAAUGGCGUAAUGAUGGCCAGGCUGUCUCCACCCGAGACUCAGUGAAAUUGAACUCGCUGUGAAGAUGCAGUGUACCCGCGGCAAGACGGAAAGACCCCGUGAACCUUUACUAUAGCUUGACACUGAACAUUGAGCCUUGAUGUGUAGGAUAGGUGGGAGGCUUAGAAGUGUGGACGCCAGUCUGCAUGGAGCCGACCUUGAAAUACCACCCUUUAAUGUUUGAUGUUCUAACGUGGACCCGUAAUCCGGGUUGCGGACAGUGUCUGGUGGGUAGUUUGACUGGGGCGGUCUCCUCCUAAAGAGUAACGGAGGAGCACGAAGGUUGGCUAAUCCUGGUCGGACAUCAGGAGGUUAGUGCAAUGGCAUAAGCCAGCUUGACUGCGAGCGUGACGGCGCGAGCAGGUGCGAAAGCAGGUCAUAGUGAUCCGGUGGUUCUGAAUGGAAGGGCCAUCGCUCAACGGAUAAAAGGUACUCCGGGGAUAACAGGCUGAUACCGCCCAAGAGUUCAUAUCGACGGCGGUGUUUGGCACCUCGAUGUCGGCUCAUCACAUCCUGGGGCUGAAGUAGGUCCCAAGGGUAUGGCUGUUCGCCAUUUAAAGUGGUACGCGAGCUGGGUUUAGAACGUCGUGAGACAGUUCGGUCCCUAUCUGCCGUGGGCGCUGGAGAACUGAGGGGGGCUGCUCCUAGUACGAGAGGACCGGAGUGGACGCAUCACUGGUGUUCGGGUUGUCAUGCCAAUGGCACUGCCCGGUAGCUAAAUGCGGAAGAGAUAAGUGCUGAAAGCAUCUAAGCACGAAACUUGCCCCGAGAUGAGUUCUCCCUGACCCCUUAAGAGUCCUGAAGGAACGUUGAAGACGACGACGUUGAUAGGCCGGGUGUGUAAGCGCAGCGAUGCGUUGAGCUAACCGGUACUAAUGAACCGUGAGGCUUAACCUU